AGCAGUCGCCGCGGGAAUACGCAGGUCCCGAGCGUUGUCCGGAUUUAUUGGGCGUAAAGGGAGUGUAGGCGGUCUUUUAAGUCUGAUGUGAAAGCCCACGGCUCAACCGUGGAGGGUCAUUGGAAACUGGGAGACUUGAGUGCAGAAGAGGAGAGCGGAAUUCCAUGUGUAGCGGUGAAAUGCGUAGAUAUAUGGAGGAACACCAGUGGCGAAGGCGGCUCUCUGGUCUGUAACUGACGCUGAGGCUCGAAAGCGUGGGGAGCAAACAGGAUUAGAUACCCCCGUAGUCCCUGUCUCUUAUAC
RNAcentral lists this ribosomal RNA (303 nucleotides) under uncultured bacterium. RNAcentral describes it as "partial 16S ribosomal RNA". It matches the Rfam family "Bacterial small subunit ribosomal RNA", at positions 507 to 807 of the family's 1533-position model. The record is from RNAcentral.